This 230-nucleotide long non-coding RNA is filed under the name Lathyrus oleraceus (garden pea). RNAcentral describes it as "Pisum sativum (pea) long non-coding RNA (PSAT_LNC023279)". Lineage: Eukaryota; Viridiplantae; Streptophyta; Magnoliopsida; Fabales; Fabaceae. The record is from RNAcentral.
AUGAAUAAACAUGUUAGUGCAAGUCAUUAAUGACGUAAAUUAGACGCUAUUAACGUCAGUGUUAGGAUUGACACUAAGUUUUUUAAGGCUAAAAUGUCUUUUUAUCGUAGUGUAAGCACAUUUUAUUUUAUGUCUAAAUUAUUUAUUUAUGACAUAUCCUCUUGAGCAUUUUAUUUUUUAUUUUUUAGGCUAAAUUUUAGAGGAGUUUUUUUAUGACAUAUAUUUCCUUG